Molecule: ribosomal RNA, 253 nt
Filed under: uncultured bacterium
Lineage: Bacteria
Description: partial 16S ribosomal RNA
Rfam family: Bacterial small subunit ribosomal RNA
Source: RNAcentral
UACGUAGGGGGCAAGCGUUAUCCGGAAUUAUUGGGCGUAAAGAGCCCGUAGGCGGUUUGUCGCGUCUGCUGUGAAAACCGGAGGCUCAACCUCCGGCCUGCAGUGGGUACGGGCAAACUAGAGUGCGGUAGGGGAGAUUGGAAUUCCUGGUGUAGCGGUGGAAUGCGCAGAUAUCAGGAGGAACACCGAUGGCGAAGGCAGAUCUCUGGGCCGUAACUGACGCUGAGGAGCGAAAGCGUGGGGAGCGAACAGG